RNAcentral lists this ribosomal RNA (253 nucleotides) under uncultured bacterium. Its description in RNAcentral is "partial 16S ribosomal RNA". It matches the Rfam family "Bacterial small subunit ribosomal RNA", at positions 524 to 776 of the family's 1533-position model. The record is from RNAcentral.
UACGGAGGGCGCGAGCGUUAAUCGGGAUUACUGGGCGUAAAGCGCGCGUAGGCUGUUGUGUAAGUUGGGGGUGAAAUCCCACGGCUCAACCGUGGAACAGCCCUUGAUACUGCGCGACUUGAAUCCGGGAGAGGGUGGCGGAAUUCCAGGUGUAGGAGUGAAAUCCGUAGAUAUCUGGAGGAACAUCAGUGGCGAAGGCGGCCACCUGGACCGGUAUUGACGCUGAGGCGCGAAAGCGUGGGGAGCAAACAGG